Molecule: ribosomal RNA, 189 nt
Filed under: uncultured bacterium
Lineage: Bacteria
Description: partial 16S ribosomal RNA
Rfam family: Bacterial small subunit ribosomal RNA
Source: RNAcentral
CCUACGGGAGGCAGCAGUGAGGAAUAUUGGACAAUGGAUGGAAAUCUGAUCCAGCCAUGCCGCGUGCAGGAAGACGGCCUUAUGGGUUGUAAACUGCUUUUAUACGGGAGCAAUAGGGGUUACGAGUAAUCCGAUGAGAGUACUGUAUGAAUAAGGAUCGGCUAACUCCGUGCCAGCAGCCGCGGUAAU